Molecule: ribosomal RNA, 476 nt
Filed under: uncultured bacterium
Lineage: Bacteria
Description: bacterial SSU rRNA
Rfam family: Bacterial small subunit ribosomal RNA
Source: RNAcentral
GCGGCAUGCCUUACACAUGCAAGUCGAACGGCAGCACGGGAGCAAUCCUGGUGGCGGAGUGGGCGAACGGGUGAGUAAUAUAUCGGAACGUGCCCAGGUCGUGGGGGAUAACGUAGCGAAAGCUACGCUAAUACCGCAUACGAUCUAUGGAUGAAAGCGGGGGAUCGCAAGACCUCGCGCGAUUGGAGCGGCCGAUAUCAGAUUAGGUAGUUGGUGAGGUAAAGGCUCACCAAGCCGACGAUCUGUAGCUGGUCUGAGAGGACGACCAGCCACACUGGGACUGAGACACGGCCCAGACUCCUACGGGAGGCAGCAGUGGGGAAUUUUGGACAAUGGGCGCAAGCCUGAUCCAGCAAUGCCGCGUGCAGGAUGAAGGCCUUCGGGUUGUAAACUGCUUUUGUACGGAACGAAACGGUGAGCUCUAAUACAGUUUGCUAAUGACGGUACCGUAAGAAUAAGCACCGGCUAACUACGUG